CUUUUAUGGAGAGUUUGAUCCUGGCUCAGGAUGAACGCUGGCGGCGUGCCUAAUACAUGCAAGUCGAGCGAACAGAUAAGGAG
RNAcentral lists this ribosomal RNA (83 nucleotides) under Staphylococcus schleiferi. RNAcentral describes it as "partial 16S ribosomal RNA". It matches the Rfam family "Bacterial small subunit ribosomal RNA", at positions 1 to 81 of the family's 1533-position model. The record is from RNAcentral. Lineage: Bacteria; Bacillati; Bacillota; Bacilli; Caryophanales; Staphylococcaceae. RNAcentral also lists the same sequence under 2 other names.